CAGUAGCCGCGGGAAUACGGAGGAUCCAAGCGUUAUCCGGAAUCAUUGGGUUUAAAGGGUCCGUAGGCGGUCUUGUAAGUCAGUGGUGAAAGCCCAUCGCUCAACGGUGGAACGGCCAUUGAUACUGCAGGACUUGAAUUAUUGGGAAGUAACUAGAAUAUGUAGUGUAGCGGUGAAAUGCUUAGAGAUUACAUGGAAUACCAAUUGCGAAGGCAGGUUACUACCAAUUGAUUGACGCUGAUGGACGAAAGCGUGGGUAGCGAACAGGAUUAGAGACCCCUGUAGUCCCUGUCUCUUAUAC
Molecule: ribosomal RNA, 301 nt
Filed under: uncultured bacterium
Lineage: Bacteria
Description: partial 16S ribosomal RNA
Rfam family: Bacterial small subunit ribosomal RNA
Source: RNAcentral